This 356-nucleotide long non-coding RNA is filed under the name Brassica rapa (field mustard). RNAcentral describes it as "long non-coding RNA (BRAP_LNC003968)". Lineage: Eukaryota; Viridiplantae; Streptophyta; Magnoliopsida; Brassicales; Brassicaceae. The record is from RNAcentral.
GCAAAUACUCUCUAAAUCAUUGGACUAACCACUAUAAAAUUGCUAUUCCCUAGAGAAACGGAGACAACAAAGGUUCCAAACCUCUUUGAACUUCAUCAUAUGUUAUUACAUGAUUCAAUUAUGCAUUAAAACAGUAUUAUCAAAUUUUUUGAAUUUUUCUCAAAAUCUAUGUGUACCCCCCUACGAAAAUUGUGUGUUUUCGGUAAAUGCUCUAUAUAUGAAGCCUAUAAUCUUUUAAUUCGUUUUAAAAUUUAUAACCAUAUUAUACCUUUGUAUUAAUGUAUGAUAAACUUCUUUUCAUGGUACAUGAACAUCGUUCUAAUUUUUUAUCCAUUAAUUUACUGCAAAUACUCCCU